AGCUCCAUUAGCGUAUAUUAAUGUUGUUGCAGUUAAAAAGCUCGUAGUUGGAUUUCUGUUUUUAAAGUUUUGUUAUAUUUUUAAUAUGAUAAAAUUUUGAAUUCAUCCUUUGGGGAAAUUGUUAUGCUAUUCAUUUAGUAUAAUACCAACCCCAAUCUUUUACUGUGAAAAAAUUAGAGUGUUUAAAACAGGCUAUUACGUCUUGAAUACUAGAGCAUGGAAUAAUAAAAUACGACUUUUUUGUAUUUUGUUGGUUUGCGAAAAAAGUAAUGAUUAAGAGGAAUAGAUGGGGAUAUUUGUAUUUUAUUGUCAGAGGUGAAAUUCUUGGAUUUAUAAAAGACAAACUACUGCGAAAGCAUUUAUCAAGCAUGUUUUCAUUA
This 380-nucleotide ribosomal RNA is filed under the name Shinkaiya sp. Its description in RNAcentral is "partial small subunit ribosomal RNA". It matches the Rfam family "Eukaryotic small subunit ribosomal RNA", at positions 587 to 975 of the family's 1831-position model. The record is from RNAcentral. Lineage: Eukaryota; Foraminifera; Syringamminidae.